UACGGAGGGGGCUAGCGUUGUUCGGAAUUACUGGGCGUAAAGCGCACGUAGGCGGCUUUGUAAGUUAGAGGUGAAAGCCCAGGGCUUAACCCUGGAAUUGCCUUUAAGACUGCAUCGCUAGAAUCGUGGAGAGGUAAGUGGAAUUCCGAGUGUAGAGGUGAAAUUCGUAGAUAUUCGGAAGAACACCAGUGGCGAAGGCGACUUACUGGACACGUAUUGACGCUGAGGUGCGAAAGCGUGGGGGAGCAAACAGG
RNAcentral lists this ribosomal RNA (254 nucleotides) under uncultured bacterium. RNAcentral's name for it is "partial 16S ribosomal RNA". It matches the Rfam family "Bacterial small subunit ribosomal RNA", at positions 524 to 776 of the family's 1533-position model. The record is from RNAcentral.